RNAcentral lists this ribosomal RNA (495 nucleotides) under uncultured bacterium. RNAcentral's name for it is "partial 16S ribosomal RNA". It matches the Rfam family "Bacterial small subunit ribosomal RNA", at positions 28 to 507 of the family's 1533-position model. The record is from RNAcentral.
GACGAACGCUGGCGGCGUGCCUAAUACAUGCAAGUAGAACGCUGAAGGAGGAGCUUGCUUCUCUGGAUGAGUUGCGAACGGGUGUGUAACGCGUAGGUAACCUGCCUGGUAGCGGGGGAUAACUAUUGGAAACGAUAGCUAAUACCGCAUAAGAGUAGAUGUUGCAUGACAUUUGCUUAAAAGGUGCAAUUGCAUCACUACCAGAUGGACCUGCGUUGUAUUAGCUAGUUGGUGGGGUAACGGCUUACCAAGGCGACGAUACAUAGCCGACCUGAGAGGGGGAUCGGCCACACUGGGACUGAGACACGGCCCAGACUCCUACGGGAGGCAGCAGUAGGGAAUCUUCGGCAAUGGACGGAAGUCUGACCGAGCAACGCCGCGUGAGUGAAGAAGGUUUUCGGAUCGUAAAGCUCUGUUGUAAGAGAAGAACGAGUGUGAGAGUGGAAAGUUCACACUGUGACGGUAUCUUACCAGAAAGGGACGGCUAACUACGUG